UACGUAGGGGGCUAGCGUUGUCCGGAUUUAUUGGGCGUAAAGAGCGUGUAGGCGGCCAGGUAGGUCUGGUGUGAAAACUCGAGGCUUAACCUCGAGAUGUCAUCGGAAACCAUUUGGCUAGAGUCCGGAAGAGGAGAGUGGAAUUCCCUGGUGUAGCGGUGAAAUGCGCAGACUAUCAGGAAGAACACCCGUGGCGAAGGCGGCAUCCUGGACCGACAUUGACGCUGAUGAGCGAAAGCUAGGGGAGCAAACGGG
This 255-nucleotide ribosomal RNA is filed under the name uncultured bacterium. RNAcentral's name for it is "partial 16S ribosomal RNA". It matches the Rfam family "Bacterial small subunit ribosomal RNA", at positions 524 to 776 of the family's 1533-position model. The record is from RNAcentral.